CCUGCCACUUGCCGACUGUGUGUGUGCUCGAGUGCAUGCCUGAGUUGUAUCAGAUUAUUGUUAAUUAAUAGUCAUUGAACACAACUGGCAAGCUGUCUGCAUUAGCAGUGCUUCAAAUAUUGCUAAAUGAUUACAUUUCUAUUCUAUUUAAACGAAACGUGAUUUUGACAGCAUCAGCAAACUAAUUCCGCUUUCAUUUUAGAAUGAUAAUUGAAGCUGCCUAUCUAUGCAAUACUAAAUGCAAAAAAGUCUAAUUAAACUCUCAACUAACUAAAUUCUCCACAGCGGUAUUCGUCAGAGUCUUGGAAUGAAACAAUACACAAAUGUUACUUUUGAAGCGACUCUUCUUUGAAUUAAGCAAAAUCAGCUCUCAGAACAAAAUCUGGACAUUACCUGUCUAACAGCAAUCUAUCCGCCUCGAAAAAUGAAGUCACAUUUGCACCAGACGCUAUCACCAUUCCAUAGCCUUCCCAUAAAAACAGUCUCUAUCAGUUGGAUCAGUACUUAACGUGACACUGCUGUGGGAAGUGUCUAAUUCAAUGGCAUGAAUUUAUGCGUCUAGAGGUGCCACAAUCAUGUCCAACAAAAGCACUUGUCCUAUUCACAAAAUUUCGCGGCGACAUCUUUCGUAUGCUAAGCAGCAGCAGCAGCAGCACAAUUCGACCAUGUUCUUUUUUGGUUUUGUUGGCUUUGUUCAGAGUUGGGGCUUGAUGAUUGUGGGGGAAGGCGAGAGAAGAACCAUAAAAGCGUCACUGAAUUCUGCAAAAACCAAAAGCAGAACCAUUGACAAGCCGUUUGACAUGAAAUGAAUUGUGAAAUUAAACAGACGGCACAAUGACAGCGACAAGAGUUGUGGAAAGGAUGUCAAAGCCACACUGUCAGUACUAGAAAGAACUGCCAGGCUGAAUCGAGUGCUGUGGCUACAAAUUGCUAAGUGAUUUCGAAUGUGUGCGUGGCCAAGUUGGGUCUCUGUGAAAGUCAAAGGAAGCAAACAUGUGUCUACAGUGCCACUUAAAAGUCAACUGCCACUGGCAACAAAUCUCAUAAAAAACUCGGGUACUUAAUUCUUGUAUUUGACUUUUUCAGUGUUCCUUUUGAGUUGUUGCUUGCUUGUUUGUUAUUGUGAUUGAUGUGAACACUUAAAUAGCAACAUUUAUUUGCCCGAUACUCGAAUGG
Long non-coding RNA from Drosophila sulfurigaster albostrigata, 1176 nucleotides. RefSeq lists it as uncharacterized. NCBI's taxonomy places the organism in Eukaryota, Metazoa, Arthropoda, Insecta, Diptera, Drosophilidae. The transcript has 2 exons. The record is from RefSeq and is a predicted model, not a curated record.